AGAAACCUGAGAUGUGCGACAAAUCCGUUAUUUUGAACCUACAAAACUUUAAACGGUAGUUUUUUAUCUCUAUAAUAUGUCAGGCCUCAGUAAUUGUCGGAGUGUGACCGGAGGAAGGCAGAAAAUUAGGUGCGAACAUCCACCUGGCUAUGGCUAGGAGUCAAAAUACGGACCCGGCAUUUUCGGGGAUUAC
This 193-nucleotide non-coding RNA is filed under the name Lachnospiraceae bacterium. RNAcentral describes it as "6S RNA". It matches the Rfam family "6S / SsrS RNA". Rfam says of the family: E. coli 6S RNA was the first non coding RNA to be sequenced, but its function was unknown until recently. The record is from RNAcentral. Lineage: Bacteria; Bacillati; Bacillota; Clostridia; Lachnospirales; Lachnospiraceae.